Molecule: long non-coding RNA, 537 nt
Organism: Bactrocera tryoni
Lineage: Eukaryota; Metazoa; Arthropoda; Insecta; Diptera; Tephritidae
Exons: 2
Source: RefSeq, a predicted model, not a curated record
GAUGGAUUUGAACUGAGUUUGCUGCUUCCAAAAAAAAUAGAUUCAAAGGCCUUUUGAAUAAUGACAACGUCGUGCGACGUUUAAAGUUCAAAGGAGAACUUGAACACUAGCAGUGCCAUUGGGGGCAGAAACAAAAGUCAAAAGACAACAAAUUACCGACUACUGCAUUGGAAAAGUUGAAGAACUUCGAUGUAGACCUCUACCCCAUAAUUCAUAGUUUUCUUCGCAUGUUCUGCACACUUCCUGUGGCGGAUGAAAGAUCUGAACGUUCUUUUUCGACACUUCGCCGCAUUAAAACGUGGCUGAAGACAAAAAUGCUUCAAGGUAGUUUGAUCGGCCUGGCGUUGCUGCACACGCAUCAUGACAUUGAAGUCACUGCAGAAAAAGCAAGAUUGUCAAAACAUUGCAAUAAAAUAUGCCUCUGUCAAUUUAAAUAGUAGGAUUUGAUAUUAGAAGGUCAAUUUGAAAAUUUUCCACCAUGUUGAACUGUAUAAAGACUACUAUGUUUAAUAUAAUAAUCUGUUGCAUUCAAGUAAA